Molecule: ribosomal RNA, 112 nt
Filed under: Acanthosepion pharaonis
Lineage: Eukaryota; Metazoa; Mollusca; Cephalopoda; Sepiida; Sepiidae
Source: RNAcentral
UACGGCCACGUCGCGUUGAAAAACCGGUUCCCGUACGAUCACCGAAGUUAAGCAAAGUCAAGCCUGGUCAAUACCUAGAUGGGUGGCCGUUUGGGAAUACCACGUGCUGUAA